CCGUGCUCCACGGGGACUUGGCGGAUCUCUUGACCCGAACGCUUAUGCGGGGUGCAGAGCCUGCUGUGAGGCUAGUGUGAAAGCAGGAAAUCAAAUAUUUGUUUAUGAUUGCUCAGAUUUUUUCGGCGAAAGCAAUCGAACCGUGUCAGAUCAGGAAUGAAGCAGCACUAAGAUUUAACUUUCGGGUGAGAGAAUUUUGAGAGGGAGAUAAAUAUUUAGACGAACUGUUUUUGUAUGUGUCGAUAGGCAGUGGCACGG
Molecule: signal recognition particle RNA, 258 nt
Filed under: Clostridium sp.
Lineage: Bacteria; Bacillati; Bacillota; Clostridia; Eubacteriales; Clostridiaceae
Description: signal recognition particle sRNA large type
Rfam family: Bacterial large signal recognition particle RNA
About the family: The signal recognition particle (SRP) is a universally conserved ribonucleoprotein involved in the co-translational targeting of proteins to membranes. Archaeal SRP consists of a 7S RNA and homologues of the eukaryotic SRP19 and SRP54 proteins.
Source: RNAcentral